Molecule: long non-coding RNA, 967 nt
Organism: Hyla sarda
Lineage: Eukaryota; Metazoa; Chordata; Amphibia; Anura; Hylidae
Exons: 4
Source: RefSeq, a predicted model, not a curated record
UCUCCUCCCCCGACCUGUACUGCUAGAUUCUGGAGAUGUAGGACCUGUGAUGAUGUCACCAUCACAUGUUGGGGGCGGAGCUUAGCUGUGGAGGAGAGGAGAGAUUGUGGCUGAAGGACCUGUGUGAUGCUGUGGAGGAGGCGGGGCUGAGCUGGAGGAGAGGUCACAUGUCAGCCCAGUAAGAGAGAUGCUUUACAUCAGCUUCAUGGACAUAGAAAACAAAAGACUGAAGGGGACUCAUUGACUUCUAUUGGAGAGCUUUCUGGGCAUGCUUUGUGACCUGUGCAGAGGAAGCGCAUGUUCUGAAGCCAGGUCCCUGCAAUUACUAGAGGAACGUUAUUCCGGUUGCACAUUGAUAUUUGGGUUAUAGAUCAACAAGCCAAAUCCUUGACCAACUCGCAAGUUCAACCUGACGCCCAAAUGUCAGAUUUUCCCCCUGAAGAAGCACCACGUGAUUCCAUGCGCACAAGACGCGGCAUCCUGGUAAGAUUCUGUAGACAUUCUUGGAGUCAUACGUGCAGGUUGGAGCAGAAGAAUCUUCAGGAAGGAAGCAUAUUUCAGAUAUUAAUAGGAAUACGAUGUCAUCUUCCAAAACAGGGAGACACUUAUUUUUUUACAUUCUUUUGGCAGAGAAGUGUGGAGGACAGGAAGUGACAUCACAUCAUAUUAUCCUGUUCCUUGUCCAGAGGUUUCUUGAAAUUCGGUUCUAAAAAUCUUGAGGAUGGGUUCCUGUGUCCUGGGAAAACAACUCAAAAGAGGAAGGAAACGAAGAUGGCAGAAUUCAUCAGAAUUCAUAGAAGAGGCCCACAGAACCUUCAAGAUUUGAAGAAUGUGUGGAAGAAUGGGCCAAAAUCCCACUAGAGCAAUGCAUGCCACUAGUUUUCCCAUAUAGUAGGCAUACUGAAGCUGUCAUUACCAACAAAGGCUUUAAUUCAAGUAAUAAAUAAAUAUCAGUAAAUAUGUUAAA